GGAGCCACUCAUUCUAGAACUAUUCUAACUCUAGCAGCUUAAUCCUCUUAAUUUCUUAUUUCUAGCCACCAUCCAAAAUAUUAUAGCCGAAUUAAAAAAAUUUAGCCAUAGUAUACCUUAUAUAUAGAAUUAUUUGAAAUCUUGGAGCGUCACAUUCUCUUUUUCUUUAGAUUCUAACGUCCUCGUCAGACUCAAGCAUACUCAUAAUUAAAGCACUAGACGAUAUGAGACUCGUCUUGCUAGCUAGCCUUUCUCCAUUC
This 260-nucleotide long non-coding RNA is filed under the name Ananas comosus (pineapple). RNAcentral's name for it is "long non-coding RNA (ACOM_LNC034662)". The record is from RNAcentral. Lineage: Eukaryota; Viridiplantae; Streptophyta; Magnoliopsida; Poales; Bromeliaceae.